UACGUAGGGGGCAAGCGUUGUCCGGAAUCAUUGGGCGUAAAGCGCGUGUAGGCGGUUCGGUAAGUCUGCUGUGAAAGUCCAGGGCUCAACCCUGGGAUGCCGGUGGAUACUGUCGGACUAGAGUACGGAAGAGGCGAGUGGAAUUCCUGGUGUAGCGGUGAAAUGCGCAGAUAUCAGGAGGAACACCAAUGGCGAAGGCAGCUCGCUGGGACGGUACUGACGCUGAGACGCGAAAGCGUGGGGAGCAAACAGG
Molecule: ribosomal RNA, 253 nt
Filed under: uncultured bacterium
Lineage: Bacteria
Description: partial 16S ribosomal RNA
Rfam family: Bacterial small subunit ribosomal RNA
Source: RNAcentral